AAGGAAAAAAAUCAUCUUCAGUUUUGAAAGACUUAGAUUAUAUAAGUUUUUCUUUUAGGUAAAU
Molecule: unclassified non-coding RNA, 64 nt
Filed under: 'Medicago sativa' phytoplasma ww18822
Lineage: Bacteria; Bacillati; Mycoplasmatota; Mollicutes; Acholeplasmatales; Acholeplasmataceae
Description: partial 16S-23S ribosomal RNA intergenic spacer
Source: RNAcentral